UACGAAGGGGGCUAGCGUUGCUCGGAAUCACUGGGCGUAAAGGGUGCGUAGGCGGGUCUUUAAGUCAGGGGUGAAAUCCUGGAGCUCAACUCCAGAACUGCCUUUGAUACUGAAGAUCUUGAGUUCGGGAGAGGUGAGUGGAACUGCGAGUGUAGAGGUGAAAUUCGUAGAUAUUCGCAAGAACACCGGUGGCGAAGGCGGUUCUCUGGGCCUGUACUGACGCUGAGGAACGAAAGCGUGGGGAGCGAACAGG
This 253-nucleotide ribosomal RNA is filed under the name uncultured bacterium. Its description in RNAcentral is "partial 16S ribosomal RNA". It matches the Rfam family "Bacterial small subunit ribosomal RNA", at positions 524 to 776 of the family's 1533-position model. The record is from RNAcentral.